This 495-nucleotide ribosomal RNA is filed under the name uncultured bacterium. RNAcentral describes it as "partial 16S ribosomal RNA". It matches the Rfam family "Bacterial small subunit ribosomal RNA", at positions 28 to 507 of the family's 1533-position model. The record is from RNAcentral.
GACGAACGCUGGCGGCGUGCCUAAUACAUGCAAGUAGAACGCUGAAGGGGGAGCUUGCUUCUCUGGAUGAGUUGCGAACGGGUGAGUAACGCGUAGGUAACCUGCCUGGUAGCGGGGGAGAACUAUUGGAAACGAUAGCUAAUACCGCAUAAUAUUAGAUGUUGCAUGACAUUUGCUUAAAAGGUGCAAUUGUAUCACUACCAGAUGGAGCUGCGUUGUAUUAGGUAGUUGGUGGGGUAACGGCUCACCAAGGCGACGAUACAUAGCCGGCCUGGGAGGGGGGUCGGCCAACCUGGGACUGAGACAAGGCCCAGACUCCUUAGGGAGGCAGCCAUAGGGAAUCUUCGGCAAUGGACGGAAGUCUGACCGAGCCACGCCGGGUGAGUGAAGAAGGUUUUCGGAUCGUAAAGCUCUGUUGUAAGAGGAGAACGAGUGUGAGAGUGGAAAGUUCACGCUGUGACGGUAUCUUACCAGAAAGCGACGGCUAACUACGUG